CCUACGGGGGGCAGCAGUGAGGAAUAUUGGUCAAUGGCCGAGCGGCUGAACCAGCCAAGUCGCGUGAGGGAAGACGGCCCUACGGGUUGUAAACCUCUUUUGUCGGGGAGCAAAGCGCGUCACGUGUGACUCAUUGAGAGUACCCGAAGAAAAAGCCUCGGCGAACUCCGUGCCAGCAGCCGCGGUAAUACGGAGGAUGCGAGCGUUAUCCGGAUUUAUUGGGUUUAAGGGGUGCGCAGGCGGAGGUGCAAGUCAGCGGUCAAAUUGCGGGGCUCAACCCCGUACUGCCGUUGAAACUGCAGCCCUUGAGUGCGCGAGAAGUAUGCGGAAUGCGUGGUGUAGCGGUGAAAUGCAGAGAUAUCACGCAGAACUCCGAUUGCGAAGGCAGCAUACCGGCGCGCAACUGACGCUCAUGCACGAAAGCGUGGGUAUCGAACAGGAUUAGAUACCCUGGUAGUC
This 459-nucleotide ribosomal RNA is filed under the name uncultured bacterium. Its description in RNAcentral is "partial 16S ribosomal RNA". It matches the Rfam family "Bacterial small subunit ribosomal RNA", at positions 338 to 795 of the family's 1533-position model. The record is from RNAcentral.